Molecule: ribosomal RNA, 252 nt
Filed under: uncultured Clostridium sp.
Lineage: Bacteria; Bacillati; Bacillota; Clostridia; Eubacteriales; Clostridiaceae
Also listed under: 2 other names
Description: partial 16S ribosomal RNA
Rfam family: Bacterial small subunit ribosomal RNA
Source: RNAcentral
UACGUAGGUGGCGAGCGUUAUCCGGAAUUAUUGGGCGUAAAGAGGGAGCAGGCGGCACUAAGGGUCUGUGGUGAAAGAUCGAAGCUUAACUUCGGUAAGCCAUGGAAACCGUAGAGCUAGAGUGUGUGAGAGGAUCGUGGAAUUCCAUGUGUAGCGGUGAAAUGCGUAGAUAUAUGGAGGAACACCAGUGGCGAAGGCGACGAUCUGGCGCAUAACUGACGCUCAGUCCCGAAAGCGUGGGGAGCAAAUAGG